UUGUCCGGAAUCACUGGGCGUAAAGGGCGCGUAGGCGGUUUGUUAAGUCAGGUGUGAAAGUUUUCAGCUUAACUGGAAAAGUGCACUUGAAACUAACUUACUUGAGUACUGGAGAGGUAAGCGGAAUUCCUAGUGUAGCGGUGAAAUGCGUAGAUAUUAGGAAGAACACCGGUGGCGAAGGCGGCUUACUGGACAGAGACUGACGCUGAGGCGCGAAAGCGUGGGGAGCGAACAGGAUUAGAUACCCUGGUAGUCCACGCCGUAAACGAUGAGUAUUAGGUGUUGCCGAGAGGCAGUGCCGCAGUUAACACAAUAAAUACUCCGCCUGGGGAGUACGGUCGCAAGACUGAAACUCAAAGGAAUUGACGGGACCCCGCACAAGUAGCGGAGCAUGUGGUUUAAUUCGAAGCAACGCGAAGAACCUUACCAGGUCUUGACAUCCUCUGACGAUGCUAGAGAUUGCGUUUUCCUUUCGGGGACAGAGAGACAGGUGGUGCAUGGUUGUCGUCAGCUCGUGUCGUGAGAUGUUGGGUUAAGUCCCGCAACGAGCGCAACCCUCGUGUUUAGUUGCCAGCGGUAAGGCCGGGCACUCUAAACAGACUGCCGUAGAUAAUACGGAGGAAGGUGGGGAUGACGUCAAGUCAUCAUGCCCCUUAUGACCUGGGCUACACACGUGCUACAAUGGGAUGUACAGAGGGUAGCGAAAUAGUGAUAUGGAGCCAAUCUCAAAAAACAUUUCUCAGUUCGGAUUGCAGGCUGCAACUCGCCUGCAUGAAGUCGGAGUUACUAGUAAUCGCAAAUCAGAAUGUUGCGGUGAAUGCGUUCCCGGGGUUUGUACACACCGCCCGU
Molecule: ribosomal RNA, 849 nt
Filed under: uncultured bacterium
Lineage: Bacteria
Description: bacterial SSU rRNA
Rfam family: Bacterial small subunit ribosomal RNA
Source: RNAcentral